UCGCGUCAUGCGCCGUAGGCAGGAGCGGGGGACCCAAGGUAGGCGCCGGAUCCGGUGAAGUGCGCCGGAUGCGGCUCGGGGUGAAGCCGCGUCCCGCAGGGGAACGCGGCCGGGCAACUCAACCGGCCCGAACCCGACAGCUCACCUCGUAGGCGUCGGUGAGGGGAUCC
This 170-nucleotide small RNA is filed under the name Streptomyces sp. RNAcentral describes it as "c-di-AMP sequence". It matches the Rfam family "c-di-AMP riboswitch aptamer (ydaO/yuaA leader)". From Rfam's summary of the family: This family represents a conserved RNA structure found upstream of the ydaO and yuaA genes in Bacillus subtilis and related genes in other bacteria. The ydaO/yuaA element is thought to act as a genetic "off" switch for the ydaO and yuaA genes in its native state. Lineage: Bacteria; Bacillati; Actinomycetota; Actinomycetes; Kitasatosporales; Streptomycetaceae. RNAcentral also lists the same sequence under 1 other name. The record is from RNAcentral.